UCAGGGUGUGAUGCGUCCACUCAAACUCAGCCGAUCGCCUCUGACUGCCUGCUGUGAUUGGCUGGGCCGGCUGUGUGAGGAGCUACACAGACAGAGGAAGAGGCUCCAGGUGUCUGGUCUCCAGCGCAGAGGAAGACGAAAAGGAGCAGAGAGCUGAGGUCCACCUGAGCACCAAACUCCUGCAGGACCUCCUGGACCUCUCACCUCCUCAGUCUCUUCAGGAUCAUGUCUUCAUCUCUCAGCACAUCUGAGCCAUCAGCACUCAAACGUUUCUGUUUGUGGCUCCAUCGCUGCGGCCCCCCUCCUCCUCCUCCUCCUCCUCUUCCUCUCCCCGUCAGCUGUGGCAGCCCCCCCUCUCUGUCAGCGUCACGCCGUCUCCCCCUGCUGGUUGUCCUGCUGCUCUGCAGUCUGCUGCUGAUGGUGCUGCUGUUGCUGUGGAACUACCACUGUUUGUUCAUCUCCGGCCUCUGCUGCCCCCCGGGGGAGGAUUACGAGGAAGGGGGAGAUGUGGGGGAGAUGGGGUCGUGACCUGGUCACACUUGGAGACCUGGGAAGCUGGUCUGACUUAUCCAGUCCUCUUCUGUCUGCUGUGCUAAAUCAACACUGUGAAACAAGUUAUUAAUAAUAAUUAAAAAACAAACACAUCAAA
Archocentrus centrarchus (flier cichlid) is the source of this 649-nucleotide long non-coding RNA. RefSeq lists it as uncharacterized. NCBI's taxonomy places the organism in Eukaryota, Metazoa, Chordata, Actinopteri, Cichliformes, Cichlidae. The transcript is spliced from 2 exons. The record is from RefSeq and is a predicted model, not a curated record.